GCCGGGGUGGUGAAAUGGCAGACACAGAGGACUUAAAAUCCUCUGGGAGGCAACUCCCGUGCGGGUUCGAGUCCCGCCCUCGGCA
This 85-nucleotide transfer RNA is filed under the name Deltaproteobacteria bacterium. Its description in RNAcentral is "tRNA-Leu". It matches the Rfam family "tRNA". From Rfam's summary of the family: Transfer RNA (tRNA) molecules are approximately 80 nucleotides in length. Lineage: Bacteria; Pseudomonadati; Myxococcota; Myxococcia. The record is from RNAcentral.